UUGAUCAUGGCUCAGAGUCACGGCUGGUNAGUAGGCCUAACACAUGCAAGUCGAACGGCAGCACAGGAGAGCUUGCUCUCUGGGUGGCGAGUGGCGGACGGGUGAGGAAUACAUCGGAAUCUACUCUGUCGUGGGGGAUAACGUAGGGAAACUUACGCUAAUACCGCAUACGACCUACGGGUGAAAGCAGGGGAUCUUCGGACCUUGCGCGAUUGAAUGAGCCGAUGUCGGAUUAGCUAGUUGGCGGGGUAAAGGCCCACCAAGGCGACGAUCCGUAGCUGGUCUGAGAGGAUGAUCAGCCACACUGGAACUGAGACACGGUCCAGACUCCUACGGGAGGCAGCAGUGGGGAAUAUUGGACAAUGGGCGCAAGCCUGAUCCAGCCAUACCGCGUGGGUGAAGAAGGCCUUCGGGUUGUAAAGCCCUUUUGUGGGAAAGAAAUCCAGCUGGCUAAUACCUGGUUGGGAUGACGGUUACCAAAGAAUAAGCACCGGCUUAAACUUCGUGCCAGCAGCCGCCGGGUAAUACGAAGGGUGCAAGCGUUACUCGGAAUUACUGGGCGUUAAGCGUGCGUAAGUGGGCCGGUUAAGUCCGUG
This 596-nucleotide ribosomal RNA is filed under the name uncultured bacterium. Its description in RNAcentral is "bacterial SSU rRNA". It matches the Rfam family "Bacterial small subunit ribosomal RNA", at positions 13 to 593 of the family's 1533-position model. The record is from RNAcentral.